GACGAACGCUGGCGGCGUGCCUAAUACAUGCAAGUCGAACGCAGUGGGGACGGGGGAGUAACACGUGGGUAACCGCCCAUCAGAGGGGAUAACCCUUGGAAACAGGUGCUAAACCGAUACUGAUGGAUGGACUCGCGGUGCAUUAGCUAGUGGGUGAGGUAAGGGCCCACCAAGGCCACGAUGCAUAGCCGGCCUGAGAGGGUGACCGGCCACACUGGGACGGAGACACGGCCCAGACUCCUACGGGAGGCAGCAGUAGGGAAUCUUCGGCAAUGGACGAAAGUCUGACCGAGCAACGCCGCGUGAGUGAAGAAGGUUUUCGGAUCGUAAAACUCUGUUGUUGGGGAAGCGGUAUCUGAACAGAAAGCCACGGCUAACUACGUGCCAGCAGCCGCGGUAAUAC
RNAcentral lists this ribosomal RNA (403 nucleotides) under uncultured bacterium. RNAcentral describes it as "partial 16S ribosomal RNA". It matches the Rfam family "Bacterial small subunit ribosomal RNA", at positions 28 to 526 of the family's 1533-position model. The record is from RNAcentral.